Molecule: ribosomal RNA, 137 nt
Filed under: uncultured eukaryote
Lineage: Eukaryota
Description: partial 18S ribosomal RNA
Rfam family: Eukaryotic small subunit ribosomal RNA
Source: RNAcentral
UGGUGGAGUGAUUUGUCUGCUUAAUUGCGAUAACGAACGAGACCUUAACCUGCUAAAUAGCCCGGCCAGCUUUGGCUGGCCGCCGGCUUCUUAGAGGGACUAUCGGCUCAAGCCGAUGGAAGUUUGAGGCAAUAACA